UCACAUUCAGAUUUUAUUGAAAGAAAUACUUCCUGACCAAUAUUUUUCAGUAAAAAUUACUUUUUAGAAAACAAAACUUCAGUUGCUCCAGAGUUCUUCGUUUGUGAUCUCCUAAAGCAGCAAACACUAGAAACUGUUGGUUGGUUUUAAGCAUCACAACCAUAAGAUGUUUCAAGAGUCUAAAAGUAAGUCAAUCUCAUAUCACUGAAAAAAUAAUAGUGAAGGAACCAGGAUUUGACAUGCUCAGGAUCCAAUGGCAGAGAACAUAUUUUUAAAAGCUGCUGACUGUAUUUAAAUAGUUACAUAAAAGGCAAGCACUGUAUUUCAACAAUACAGAAGUACAGCUGGGAAGGACUUGCAUUUUAUGAGUGUAUUAGGUUACACACAGAAGGUUUUAUUUAGCACAUUUCUGCGGGAGUUUGGAACAUACUCCACUGUGGUCUUAACAGGAAACAUAUUUUAGUCUAAGAACAAUAUAAUGCAUGUGAAAGGUUAACACGUUUUGUUUUGAAGAAUAUCUAAGGAGGCCUUCCUUCGAAAAAUGAAGCAUUUUAAGGUGUUUUACACUCAAGAGGAGUUACAGUCUUUUCCUUUCCCCCACCUCCCCAUCAGCUAGGUGGGUUUGGAGUAAAUAACACGCCUUAAUGCACCUCCAACCCCAGCCCGCUACAUUACCCGGUACUUUGUAUCUACAGAUGCUGGCACUGCACCAGUGCCUUCCAGGACACCCGGGAGUGUCCUCAACUCUAAAACAUCAGUGAGAGUUUUAGCGAACAGCGUUGCUACAGCGAUUCUCCCUCCUAUUACCAGCAGCCAGGUAAGACCGAGCUUACCGAAGAUCUAUCUCACUCUGAAGAUGAAAAUGCUGUGAACCCCAACCCAAAAUAUAACGCGCUACGGGAUCUGUUUAUCAAGCGUGGAAACUACCCAGCGUCUCCCAUGGGUAAUUUACGACGCAGCCCUCGCCAGAUGGAAGAAGUGGAAGAAGUCUCGUCCUUUACUCAGCACCUUGCACCUGGACAUCCCAAGGGAAAGGGGGAGCGGGAAAAACAAUCCUUCGGAGUACGGCCCCGGGGAUGCCACCCUGGCAGACUCGGCACCAGCCGCGAGCAACUGUCUUAUUAAAGGCAGAGGUGAGGAGAAGAGGGAGAAUAAUAUCUAAUCCAUAAUCCCAUUAUAAGAGCAAGAGCGAAAUAGGUUGUUAGAAGAAACAAACUAGAAAGUCAAAUAGAAACAAAGGAAAACCUGAAAAUAAGAACAAGGAAGGAACACUGUAACUUGAAAGAGCUAGCCUACAGAGGAAAGCUAAAGGAGGAUUGUGUGACCUGCUCAAGGAACUUCUGCAGGAGAGGAGGAAAAGCAGAAAAGUGCAACAGGACUGUCCAGUGGAGGACCAGGAGGAUGAGUGCCUUUCCACCUUGCAAGUUUUGAGACGACUGGUGUCCUAGAGCUCGGAACCAAAGCACAUGCAGUACUAGCCCAUUUGUCCAGGCUACUCAGCCUUUAGCUGUAGCUUAUCAUGAAAUAUCCAGACUGGAUAGAGACUUCUUUAUCUGUCUUCAACACUGUAUGCCUUUCCACUCUGAGCUGUGGUCCACUGCUAUCAUCCACCCAGAGUUAAAGGUUAGCUUCUGGCUUUAGCACAGGUGUAUACUUCAUAGACUCAUAGAAUGGUUUAGGUUGGAAGGGACUAAAGAUCAAUCAGUUUCAACCCCCCUGUCACGGGCAGGGACACCUUCCACCAGACCAGGUUUCUCAAAGACCUAUCCAGCCUGACCUUGGACACUUCCAGGGAUGGGGCAUCCACAGCUUCUCUGGUCAACCUGUUCCAGUGCCUUACCACCCUCACAGCAAAGAAUUUUUUCCUGAUGUGUAAUCUAAACCUACUCUCCUUUUGAAACCAUCUCCCCCUUUUCCUGUCAUUACAUUCCUUUGCAAAAAGUCUUUCUCCAUUUUUCUUGUAGCCCCCCCUUUAGGUAGCGGAAGGUGCUAUAAGGCCUCCUUGGAGCCUUCUCUUCUCCAGGCUGAACUGCCCCAGCUCGCUCAUAGGAAAAAUGUUUGAACCUCUGAUCGUCCUCGUGGUCCUCUGGACUCACUCCAGCAGGUCCCCAUCCUUCCUAUGCUUGGGGCCCCAGAGCUGGACUUCCUCCAACCAUCUGCUUGGUGAUCACACCCAAAGGAUAUCUAUGUUACUUGGAUCAGCUGGUUAAGCCUGUUUGAGUUUAGUGUUGCCUUAAGUAAACUUUGUCUUGACUUUUAGCAUGUGCUGUGCUUUACUGCAUACUUGUCAUGUAUGUACAACAGUGUAUACAUCACUGCUGUUAAAUUAAUGAUCACCUGCAAAGUCUUAAGGAAGAAAUUAUCUGAGUAAAGUAACGCAUUGUUGGGAAAAGCCUAAUACAGAUUUUAUGGUACAGUCCCAUCAUUGCUCUCUACACAUAAACUAACCACGUGAUCACUGACUUACCUUUUUUCUAUGUGUUUACUAUCUCCUCUUCAGGGUUCAGAGAACCUCUCCAGGGUUUAGGUACCAUCAUCAUGGCCAGUCUUCGCGAAUGAAGAUUUGGGAAAGGUCAUUACCCUUCGAGCCUGCGCAGUGGAUUUUUUAGGUGAGACACAGUGUGUGCUGAACUGAGCCCACCCUUUAAUCCUAAGGUUCAUCUGCUGGGGCCAAGCGAGCUCGGACAGUGGCAGCGAGGUCCUCAGGACGUAGGUUUGUUUAGAGUGACCUUCUCUUAGAUGGAUGGCCUUACGAGCUCCAUCUGCCCGGAGGAGUUCCCUGACUGGGAAUCGAACCCAGGCUGCAGUGGUGAGAGCGCUGCAUCCUAACCACUAGACCACCAGGGGGCCCCUGUCUAAGUACCGUACUUCAUCCAAAUCUUCUACUGAAUACAUCUUGUUAGUUAUUGUAACGUCUUGUGCAUCACCACAUGUCUGGCCCUUUCUAUGGUGAAUCUCAUUUAAUAAAAACCCUGCAGAUUAUUUUCAGGUCUUUGUGGUUCUCUCUCCUUAACAGUCAGGGAACUAAGAUACACAUGGAUUUAAGCCUACAUUUACAUUAACUUUGUGUGGGCGAUAUGCUAUGACCUAAACCUUGCUUCAAAAUAUUUUAACUAUUUAUGUUUCUCAGCAUGAGUUAUAUAGUAAUGGUUAUAUAGUAUAUCCAACAUCUCUUGGGAUAUAGGUCUGUGUCAGCUCUUCCGCUCAUCUUUUUUCCCAUGUAACACACAGAACGAAGCAGGUGAGUAGUGCUUGCAUUGUCUCCUGGUAUGCAAAUGUGACCCAAAAUACCAACUUGCAGCAACUGAGGGCGCUGAGCUCCUAUUGCUUAUGGAAGUUAGUGCUUUUCUGUCCACUUCCCUGCUUAGUUAUCCUUUGUUGGAGAUUUUAGUGUAGAAUCUGUUUAUUGAAGGGCUGAGUGGAAUGAAAGCCUUUUUCUGAUGACUUAGGCAAGGUGAAGUCUGCAGUCUCUUGAUUACAGAUUCUCCAGGCUCUGCCUUUAUUCCAAUUAACAUAAGCUGCAAACAAAUGUUUAUUGAGUUCUGGAUUUUGUUAGUUCUUGGCAUCUGAGAGUGUUGUCCUAUUGAAUGCAAUCCUCCACUUUGGUCAGCUUCUCCAAGCAAAACUUUCUCCACCCUCAACUGUUGCUUUUCCUGUCCAAUGUCACUCCUCUUCUGAGGUUCCUUUCUGAAUGUGCAUGAGUGACUCUUUCUUAUUUGCUGCCACCUUCUCUCUUUGUCCAGUGCAAACAGACAACAAAAAUUAUUUUCCAAAUAUCUUAUUGUUGCCUUCUGACUGCCAAGGUUGGCUAAUAAGUAGUGAUUAAAAACCAGUUUGACCACAUUACGGAGUGAUUCUGCACAUUGCUUGGAGCUGUGAGAGGAUGUGGGUACUGGGUAGGCUUCUCGAUGCUCUACCUGGCCGCCUUACCAUCCUAAUUGCCCUGGGAGCUUGACAAGAGGGUGUUGCCAACUUCCCUUUCAACAUAUCAGUGUGUGCAAGUUCCCUGGAGGGACCUAAGUGUAGAUUUGUCUUCGGGGAAAUAUUAUAACCUGAAUGUGUCAGCUUUAACUCAACUUGCUUUGUGCGAGCUAAUGGGUGAGAGGAGUGCGUGUUAGUUUAGGAAAGAAAUUAGAAAGUGUACAACAAGGUUCUAAGUGACAACAAAAAAAUGAAACACCAAUGAUACACCAUUCCAAAACCUACUUACGAACACAUUUUUUCUUAUAUUCAUGUAGUCUUUCAGCAGUGUCUCCAAAAUGGAGCAAGCAGAAAUGUUCAAAUGUGUCUCUUCUCACUCUCCUGUGCUGGGGGCUUGCAGCACUGUCUACAAACUUUCACUAUGUUCUUCAGUUAGUACAUUUCUCUUAUGUUAAGCAGCUUAUUAUCCAAGACUUUUUCACAACUUAGGUAACAUUUGAUACAUUUACUUCUUCAUUGUAUCAGGUUGGGUAUUUUCCAGAUACCAGAGAUGAGCUAAAAGUACAAUAGAUAACAUGAGAUGUCAAAGAGCAUUUUCUAAACCACUUUCUUUCCCCCUCUUUAUUAGCUGUAGGAGCUCCGGGUACCAAAUCCACAUGGGAUGGCAGGAGCAGGGUGGGAAUGUAGCAGGGAAAAACAGUAGUAGGAAGAGUACUCUGAUACCUGAAAGAAUGCAGAUCAUGUAACUUUUACAGAAAUUCCUACGUCUACCCUUUCUGGUAAAAACUGAACUCUCUGGAUCCUUGAGCAAUGGGAUUUAUCAGUCACUCUGUCCCUCUGUCCCUUCCCUCUGUCCCUCUGUCUAGCCAUAUUAAUAGUUCUGCUAGUGGUAGACUUACUUUCCUCUGUCAAAGUACUUCUUUAAGUCAACACUGAUGUGAUCCACACAUCACCUCAAAUAUCACAGCAAUAAAGGUGGUGGAGCAAAAGUCACUGUCAAAUACUAUGGAGUGGACUUUGGAGAGGAGAGCACCAAUAGAUGUAAAUGUGCUGAUUUUACUAAGAUAGGGCUCUGAAGUCUUCUUACAGUAUUGUUCCUUCUAUACCUGGUUGAAUGCCCUUCCCUUGUACUUCUGGAGCUAUUAUGGAGUCUCUUGUCCUUUGUUAUAGCUUUGAAAAGGAGGCAAAAGAUACAUUUCUCACUUUCUGUACCCAACAGUUAAUAAAUGUGUUGUGAACAUA
Pseudopipra pipra is the source of this 5163-nucleotide long non-coding RNA. RefSeq lists it as uncharacterized. The transcript is spliced from 4 exons. The record is from RefSeq and is a predicted model, not a curated record. NCBI's taxonomy places the organism in Eukaryota, Metazoa, Chordata, Aves, Passeriformes, Pipridae.